AGUGAACGCUGGCGGUAGGCCUAACACAUGCAAGUCGAACGGCAGCACAGUAAGAGCUUGCUCUUACUGGUGGCGAGUGGCGGACGGGUGAGGAAUACAUCGGAAUCUACUUUUUCGUGGGGGAUAACGUAGGGAAACUUACGCUAAUACCGCAUACGACCUGCGGGUGAAAGCAGGGGAUCUUCGGACCUUGCGCGAUUCAAUGAGCCGAUGUCGGAUUAGCUAGUUGGCGGGGUAAAGGCCCACCAAGGCGACGAUCCGUAGCUGGUCUGAGAGGAUGAUCAGCCACACUGGAACUGAGACACGGUCCAGACUCCUACGGGAGGCAGCAGUGGGGAAUAUUGGACAAUGGGCGCAAGCCUGAUCCAGCCAUACCGCGUGGGUGAAGAAGGCCUUCGGGUUGUAAAGCCCUUUUGUUGGGAAAGAAAAGCAGCAGGUUAAUACCCCGCUGUUCUGACGGUACCCAAAGAAUAAGCACCGGCUAACUUCGUG
RNAcentral lists this ribosomal RNA (492 nucleotides) under uncultured bacterium. RNAcentral's name for it is "partial 16S ribosomal RNA". It matches the Rfam family "Bacterial small subunit ribosomal RNA", at positions 29 to 507 of the family's 1533-position model. The record is from RNAcentral.